This 416-nucleotide ribosomal RNA is filed under the name Babesia sp. Coco. RNAcentral describes it as "SSU rRNA". The record is from RNAcentral. Lineage: Eukaryota; Apicomplexa; Aconoidasida; Piroplasmida; Babesiidae.
CGGUAAUUCCAGCUCCAAUAGCGUAUAUUAAACUUGUUGCAGUUAAAUAGCUCGUAGUUGAAUUUCWGCGUUUCCUUUUCUUUGCUUUGUCGCUUUGAUUUGGUUUCGCUUUUGUUUUUACUUUGAGAAAAUUAGAGUGUUUCAAGCAGACUUUUGUCUUGAAUACUUCAGCAUGGAAUAAUAGAGUAGGACCGUAGUCCUAUUUUGUUGGUUUUGUGGACUACUGUAAUGGUUAAUAGGAACGGUUGGGGGCAUUCGUAUUUGACUGUCAGAGGUGAAAUUCUUAGAUUUGUCAAAGACGAACUACUGCGAAAGCAUUUGCCAAGGACGUUUUCAUUAAUCAAGAACGAAAGUUAGGGGAUCGAAGACGAUCAGAUACCGUCGUAGUCCUAACCAUAAACUAUGCCGACUAGAGA